AGGACGAACGCUGGCGGCGUGCUUAACACAUGCAAGUCGAGCGGAAAGGCCCUUCGGGGUACUCGAGCGGCGAACGGGUGAGUAACACGUGAGUAAUCUGCCCUUAGCUCUGGGAUAGCUCCGGGAAACCGGGAUUAAUACCAGAUACAACCACUUUAGACAUCUGUUGUGGUGGAAAGAAUUUUGGCUAAGGAUGAGCUCGCGGCCUAUCAGCUUGUUGGUGGGGUAAUGGCCUACCAAGGCGACGACGGGUAGCCGGCCUGAGAGGGCGACCGGCCACACUGGGACUGAGACACGGCCCAGACUCCUACGGGAGGCAGCAGUGGGGAAUAUUGCGCAAUGGGCGAAAGCCUGACGCAGCGACGCCGCGUGGGGGAUGAAGGCCUUCGGUUGUAACCCUUUCAGCAGGACGAAGCGAAAGUGACGGUACCUGCAGAAGAAGCGCCGGCUAACUACGCGCCAGCAGCCGC
This 470-nucleotide ribosomal RNA is filed under the name uncultured bacterium. RNAcentral's name for it is "SSU rRNA". It matches the Rfam family "Bacterial small subunit ribosomal RNA", at positions 26 to 518 of the family's 1533-position model. The record is from RNAcentral.